UACGUAGGGUUCGAGCGUUAAUCGGAAUUACUGGGCGUAAAGCGUGCGCAGGCGGCUUUGCAAGACAGAUGUGAAAUCCCCGGGCUCAACCUGGGAACUGCAUUUGUGACUGCAAGGCUAGAGUACGGCAGAGGGGGAUGGAAUUCCGCGUGUAGCAGUGAAAUGCGUAGAUAUGCGGAGGAACACCAAUGGCGAAGGCAAUCCCCUGGGCCUGUACUGACGCUCAUGCACGAAAGCGUGGGGAGCAAACAGG
This 253-nucleotide ribosomal RNA is filed under the name uncultured bacterium. Its description in RNAcentral is "partial 16S ribosomal RNA". It matches the Rfam family "Bacterial small subunit ribosomal RNA", at positions 524 to 776 of the family's 1533-position model. The record is from RNAcentral.